Molecule: unclassified non-coding RNA, 1729 nt
Filed under: Helicoverpa zea (corn earworm)
Lineage: Eukaryota; Metazoa; Arthropoda; Insecta; Lepidoptera; Noctuidae
Description: transcription factor E2F7-like, transcript variant X1
Source: RNAcentral
UUUCGUAGAAGUUCGAGCCUCGCGCGCAAUUUGCUACUGUCAAAAUUGUUUACCGUGAGCCGUGAGGUUAAUUUGUAGAUUUUAAUUUCAUAUUUCAAUGAUUUACUGUAUUUUUAUACUCAGACCGAACUUGUAGCAUGUUUUUUGUGACAUUAUUCUGAUAUAAUUGAAGUUUUUGUGCAAACCAAACCAACGCGAUUUGUGUGUGGUUGUCAAAAAGUACGCGAAUAUUUUGUAAAAUAGGAUUUUUACAUAAUGUUAACGCACAAUGUAUGAAGAUGACAACAUAACUUGUACUCCAAAGCGCUGUGUGCUUACUGAGGUCACAAACUCAGCCAACUAUGUAUCGCCGACUGCUAACCUCAAGUUACUGACUAAUGUCGCGUUGCAAUAUCCCACACCGCCGCCCAGUGCUGUACAUCGAAAAGAAAAAUCCCUUCAGAUAUUAUGUGACAGAUUCCUCAAUCUGUAUCCACUCCAUGGUGAUGGUCCAGUGGAAAUACAACUGGAUAGCACUGCAGCCCGGCUAGGCGUAGAGAAACGUCGAAUGUAUGAUAUAAUAAACAUACUUGAAGCUAUGCAGUGUGCAGUUCAUAAGAGAAAGAACACAUAUCUUUGGCAUGGAGGAUCUCGACUAAAUUCAUUUCUUAAAAUGUUGAAAAAGCAGGGGGAGCACCUUAAGUUAUCAGAAGCUCUGCGUGGGAAAGCCCCCAAGCCUCCCACACCCAAACAUAAAACUUUGGGAGUUUUGGCUCAGAGAUUCCUGAUGCUGUUCUUAGUAGAACCUCCUAAUACUCUAAUAAACUUGGAGAUGGCUGUGAGAGUGUUGAUAGACACUUCCAAUAAGAGUAAGACAGUCCUCACUCCUGAGCAGCAGGACCGCCAACACAAGUCCAAAGUAAGGAGACUCUAUGACAUUGCCAAUGUAUUUAUCUCAAUUGGUCUCAUUGAAAAAGUAUCAGGUAAUUUAAUAUUAAAGAAGCCAGUUUUUAAGUAUGUGGGGCCAUACAAGAUUAAGAAGUGUGAUAAGACUUUAAUGACAACACCAUCCCCCAUCACACCACUGUCGCUGUUGGACAGUGAGCAGAGGGGCACCGCUUGCCAUGUGUUUGCUGGAAGAUCCAAACGGAAACUGGAGUUCACGACUCCAACUUCCACCAAAGAACUGAAGCUUGGUAUCACAACCCCACCUCACACGCCGUCACACAAGUGGGAUGAAAUCCUGCUCGUGGCUGACAUGGAACUGACUAGAAUUAACAAAGGAGUAGUCUUGUGAUUAAUUUAAAAUUUGAUUGUAUUGAUAAUAAUGCAGAUUUUUAUAUAGUUCUCUUUUUCUAUUUGUCUUCCAGGAUAGCAUGUCAUAGUGACUUAUUAUAUAGACAAAAUUAUAAUGUACUUUGUUCCUAUUUUUAAAUUUUAUUCAGUUGUUGCUAAGAGCAGAUUAUUUAAAGGGAGUACUGAAUAUAUUAUUAUAGUACAGAAAGUUUUUUCAUGAGUGAGAGAUUAGACUGGACUCCUUUUUAUUAUUAUUCUAUUUAUGAAUUUCUGAUCCUAGUGUCUAGGAUUUGUACAACUACAAAAUCUAUUUUUUGACAAAUUAUGAUAUCGGUUUUUAACUGUAGAAGGCCUAGUGGCUCUUUAACUGUAGACAUGGAUUUAUAUAGAAUAUGCUUUUAUUUUAUAUUUGUUUAUUCUUUAUUCCUAAUAAAUGAAAUGACCUUUUUUCUAA